GACGAACGCUGGCGGCGUGCUUAACACAUGCAAGUCGAACGGAAAGGCCCCCAUCUUGGUGGGGGUGCUCGAGUGGCGAACGGGUGAGUAACGCGUGGGUGAUCUGCCCUGUACUUCGGGAUAAGCUUGGGAAACUGGGUCUAAUACCGGAUAGGACCAUGGUUUAGUGUCUCAUGGUGGAAAGAUUAUUGUUUUGGUGCAGGAUGAGCUCGCGGCCUAUCAGCUUGUUGGUGGGGUAAUGGCCUACCAAGGCGUCGACGGGUAGCCGGCCUGAGAGGGUGGACGGCCACAUUGGGACUGAGAUACGGCCCAGACUCCUACGGGAGGCAGCAGUGGGGAAUAUUGCACAAUGGGCGCAAGCCUGAUGCAGCGACGCCGCGUGGGGGAUGACGGCCUUCGGGUUGUAAACUCCUUUCGUUAGGGACGAAGCCGCACUUUUUUUGGGUGUGGUGACGGUACCUUUGUUAAGAAGCACCGGCUAACUACGUG
RNAcentral lists this ribosomal RNA (489 nucleotides) under uncultured bacterium. RNAcentral describes it as "partial 16S ribosomal RNA". It matches the Rfam family "Bacterial small subunit ribosomal RNA", at positions 28 to 507 of the family's 1533-position model. The record is from RNAcentral.